GUGCCAGCCGCCGCGGUAAUACGGAAGGUCCGGGCGUUAUCCGGAUUUAUUGGGUUUAAAGGGAGCGUAGGCGGGCUGUUAAGUCAGCUGUGAAAUCCGGCGGCUCAACCGUCGGCCUGCAGUUGAUACUGGCGGCCUUGAGUGCGCGCAGGGGCGUUGGAAUUCAUGGUGUAGCGGUGAAAUGCUCAGAUAUCAUGAAGAACUCCGAUUGCGAAGGCAGCUCACUGUAUCGCGACUGACGCUGAAGCUCGAAAGUGCGGGUAUCGAACAGGAUUAGAUACCCUGGUAGUCCGCACGGUAAACGAUGGAUGCCCGCUGUCCGGCCUUUGUGGCUGGGUGACCAAGCGAAAGCGUUAAGCAUCCCACCUGGGGAGUACGCCGGCAACGGUGAAACUCAAAGGAAUUGACGG
This 410-nucleotide ribosomal RNA is filed under the name uncultured bacterium. Its description in RNAcentral is "bacterial SSU rRNA". It matches the Rfam family "Bacterial small subunit ribosomal RNA", at positions 505 to 916 of the family's 1533-position model. The record is from RNAcentral.